Molecule: ribosomal RNA, 522 nt
Filed under: Triticum aestivum (bread wheat)
Lineage: Eukaryota; Viridiplantae; Streptophyta; Magnoliopsida; Poales; Poaceae
Description: partial small subunit ribosomal RNA
Source: RNAcentral
AUGGCACCGAUUUGCCGCAUGGUGUGCUACAACUACACUCCAGGGGAAUAUUUGUUCAGAAUCUUCAGUCUUGUAAUUUUCUCCUUGAUGACAAUGACCAUGCCGUGCUGGGGAUUUGGGAUUCCAUCCUUGCUGUUUGGACUUCCGCUGCCAAAUCCAGAUCUUAUCCAAAGACUUGGGACUCCAAAUUACAUGCCCCAGAACAUUGGCGACCAAACAUCAGAGGCCCAAUUAGUUACGAGACUGACUCGUUGGGGUUUCGCUUGUAGCAUUCUUGAGAUGUUCAGUGGCGUUCAGACUUGGUGUGCCAAAUCACCAGAUGAGAUUUAUCAGUCAGUUGUCCUGAAGAAAGAGAAACCGAUGUUCCUGUAUAAUUUACCUACGGAGGUCGCUAAUGUCCUCUCUGGCUGCUAUGAGUAUGACUUUCAGGAUCACUCCUUGAUGUUAGAUAUCUUACAGUCAUUUGAAAGGUUGGAGGUGACACAUGAACGUUGGCAAUGCAAAAUAGCAUAUAUAAAAUAA